This 415-nucleotide ribosomal RNA is filed under the name uncultured Gammaproteobacteria bacterium. RNAcentral's name for it is "bacterial SSU rRNA". It matches the Rfam family "Bacterial small subunit ribosomal RNA", at positions 64 to 476 of the family's 1533-position model. The record is from RNAcentral. Lineage: Bacteria; Pseudomonadati; Pseudomonadota; Gammaproteobacteria.
GAACGGCAGCACAGGUAGCAAUACCGGGUGGCGAGUGGCGGACGGGUGAGUAAGGCAUCGGGAUCUACCCAGACGUGGGGGAUAACCUCGGGAAACCGGGACUAAUACCGCAUACGUCCUACGGGAGAAAGCGGGGGACCUUCGGGCCUCGCGCGGCUGGACGAACCGAUGUGCGAUUAGCUUGUUGGCGGGGUAAUGGCCCACCAAGGCGACGAUCGCUAGCUGGUCUGAGAGGAUGAUCAGCCACACUGGGACUGAGACACGGCCCAGACUCCUACGGGAGGCAGCAGUGGGGAAUAUUGGACAAUGGGCGCAAGCCUGAUCCAGCAAUGCCGCGUGUGUGAAGAAGGCCUUCGGGUUGUAAAGCACUUUUAUCAGGAGCGAAAUACUACCGGCUAAUAUCCGGUGGGGCUGA